Molecule: ribosomal RNA, 471 nt
Filed under: Microbacterium hydrocarbonoxydans
Lineage: Bacteria; Bacillati; Actinomycetota; Actinomycetes; Micrococcales; Microbacteriaceae
Description: bacterial SSU rRNA
Rfam family: Bacterial small subunit ribosomal RNA
Source: RNAcentral
URSSGCGKCUUAMCAUGCAAGUCGACGGUGAACACGGAGCUUGCUCUGUGGGAUCAGUGGCGAACGGGUGAGUAACACGUGAGCAACCUGCCCCUGACUCUGGGAUAAGCGCUGGAAACGGCGUCUAAUACUGGAUACGAACCACGAAGGCAUCUUCAGUGGUUGGAAAGAAYUUCGGUUGGGGAUGGGCUCGCGGCCUAUCAGCUUGUUGGUGAGGUAAUGGCUCACCAAGGCGUCGACGGGUAGCCGGCCUGAGAGGGUGACCGGCCACACUGGGACUGAGACACGGCCCAGACUCCUACGGGAGGCAGCAGUGGGGAAUAUUGCACAAUGGGCGCAAGCCUGAUGCAGCAACGCCGCGUGAGGGAUGACGGCCUUCGGGUUGUAAACCUCUUUUAGCAGGGAAGAAGCGAAAGUGACGGUACCUGCAGAAAAGCGCCGGCUAACUACGUGCCAGCCGCGSGGUAAUAC